CAAUAGCGUAUAUUAAAGUUGUUGCAGUUAGAACGCUCGUAGUCGGAUUUCGGGGCGGGCCGACCGGUCUGCCGAUGGGUAUGCACUGGUCGGAGCGUCCUUCCUUCCGGAGACCGUCCCUACUCUUAACUGAGCGGGGGCGGGAGACGGGACUUUUACUUUGAAAAAAUCAGAGUGUUUCAAGCAGGCAGCUCGCUCUUGCAUGGAUUAGCAUGGGAUAAUGAAAUAGGACUUUGGUGCUAUUUUGUUGGUUUCGAACACCGAAGUAAUGAUGAGAAGGGACAGUCAGGGGCACUCGUAUUCCGCCGAGAGAGGUGAAAUUCUCAGACCAGCGGAAGACGAACCACUGCGAAAGCAUUUGCCAGGGAUGUUUUCACUGA
This 380-nucleotide ribosomal RNA is filed under the name uncultured eukaryote. RNAcentral describes it as "partial 18S ribosomal RNA". It matches the Rfam family "Eukaryotic small subunit ribosomal RNA", at positions 592 to 976 of the family's 1831-position model. The record is from RNAcentral.